ACGUAGUCCAAGACAGGGUUUUAUCCUCUACGUAGUCCAAGACAGGGUUUUAUCCUCUACGUAGUCCAAGACAGGGUUUUAUCCUCUACGUAGUCCAAGACAGGGUUUUAUCCUCUACGUAGUCCAAGACAGGGUUUUAUCUUCUACGUAGUUCAAGACAGGGUUUUAUCUUCUACGUAGUUCAAGACAGGGUUUUAUCCUCUACGUAGUCCAAGACAGGGUUUUAUCCUCUACGUAGUCCAAGACAGGGUUUUAUCCUCUACGUAGUCCAAGACAGGGUUUUAUCAUCUACGUAGUCCAAGACAGGGUUUUAUCCUGGUGUCUACGUAGUCCAAGACAGGGUUUUAUCCUCUACGUAGUCCAAGACAGGGUUUUAUCCUGGUGUCUACAUAGUUCUGUAGUCCAAGACAGGGUUUUAUCCUCUACGUAGUCCAAGACAGGGUUUUAUCCUGGUGUCUACAUAGUUCUGUAGUCCAAGACAGGGUUUUAUCCUCUACGUAGUCCUGUCUGUGUGUGUCUGAACUACUACCGUAGACUCUGGUCUCUCGUGUCCUCCAGGCUUGACCUCUAACCUGAAUGUAGGCCUGGACAUGGGGUCUGGUGUGGGCUGUAAGGAGCCUCAGUCUCGUCUGAAGAAAUGGACGGCCAUGGACGUUAACUCGCCUCUGGAGCGAAAACCUGGUGCCAUGUCGUCUGGGCUGCGUCUGGAAGAUUCUCCCUUCGGUCCGCACGACUUCCUGUCUGCUGGCUCCGCCCC
Molecule: long non-coding RNA, 757 nt
Filed under: Salmo salar (Atlantic salmon)
Lineage: Eukaryota; Metazoa; Chordata; Actinopteri; Salmoniformes; Salmonidae
Description: lncRNA (ENSSSAG00000101845.1)
Source: RNAcentral